GGGUCAGUAGGUUGGUCGUGCCACCGGUACGUACUGGUCUCACUGAUUCCUCCUUCCUGAAGAACCGUAAUGCCAUUAAUUUGGUGUUGCGGGGAAACAGGACUGUUACUUUGAAAAAAUUAGAGUGUUUAAAGCAAGCUAACGCUUGAAUACAUUAGGAUGGAAUAAUGAAAUAGGACGAUCGAUCCUAUUUUGUUGGUUUCUAGGAUUGACGUA
This 216-nucleotide ribosomal RNA is filed under the name Glomeromycotina sp. RNAcentral describes it as "partial small subunit ribosomal RNA". The stretch from base 40 to 216 matches the Rfam family "Eukaryotic small subunit ribosomal RNA", at positions 686 to 864 of the family's 1831-position model. The record is from RNAcentral. Lineage: Eukaryota; Fungi; Glomeromycota.